CAACUAUGAUAAAAUUCAAUUUUCUUGCCCAAAAAUGCCAACGAUGUGAAAAGCAUGAAGAAAGCAAUCCAUGUUGAAACAAAAGGAAGUAAUCUGUGAUUUUUAUGCCUUGAAAAGCCAUAUAUAACAUGAAGGCAGUGAGAAAAAACUUCAAUAUUAAGAUGGAGUAUGAUAUCCUUUUACCUUACAAUCUUGGACAACCAAAAUUUUCGGGCCAAGUUAUCUUGAAGACGCUGUGUGUAUUAUGUUUCCGUUUGUUUUCACUACUAAGAAGCAGCUCCAAAAAUAUUGAAUUAAGACUCCAACAAUUGAAUUAAGAUUUUUGUUCCAAGUAAAGCAAUUAUGUACUUGAUGAAAUAAGAAAGAACUCUGACAAU
RNAcentral lists this long non-coding RNA (377 nucleotides) under Coffea arabica (coffee). RNAcentral's name for it is "long non-coding RNA (CARA_LNC003512)". The record is from RNAcentral. Lineage: Eukaryota; Viridiplantae; Streptophyta; Magnoliopsida; Gentianales; Rubiaceae.